UGGAGAUAGCUGGUUCUCUCCGAAAUAGCUUUAGGGCUAGCCUCAAGUGAUGAUUAUUGGAGGUAGAGCACUGUUUGGACGAGGGGCCCCUCUCGGGUUACCGAAUUCAGACAAACUCCGAAUGCCAAUUAAUUUAACUUGGGAGUCAGAACAUGGGUGAUAAGGUCCGUGUUCGAAAGGGAAACAGCCCAGACCACCAGCUAAGGUCCCAAAAUAUAUGUUAAGUGGAAAAGGAUGUGGCGUUGCCCAGACAACUAGGAUGUUGGCUUAGAAGCAGCCAUCAUUUAAAGAGUGCGUAAUAGCUCACUAGUCGAGUGACACUGCGCCGAAAAUGUACCGGGGCUAAACAUAUUACCGAAGCUGUGGAUUGUCCUUUGGACAAUGGUAGGAGAGCGUUCUAAGGGCGUUGAAGCAUGAUCGUAAGGACAUGUGGAGCGCUUAGAAGUGAGAAUGCCGGUGUGAGUAGCGAAAGACGGGUGAGAAUCCCGUCCACCGAUUGACCAAGGUUUCCAGAGGAAGGCUCGUCCGCUCUGGGUUAGUCGGGUCCUAAGCUGAGGCCGACAGGCGUAAGCGAUGGAUAACAGGUUGAUAUUCCUGUACCACCUAUAAUCGUUUUAAUCGAUGGGGGGACGCAGUAGGAUAGGCGAAGCGUGCGAUUGGAUUGCACGUCUAAGCAGUAAGGCUGAGUAUUAGGCAAAUCCGGUACUCGUUAAGGCUGAGCUGUGAUGGGGAGAAGACAUUGUGUCUUCGAGUCGUUGAUUUCACACUGCCGAGAAAAGCCUCUAGAUAGAAAAUAGGUGCCCGUACCGCAAACCGACACAGGUAGUCAAGAUGAGAAUUCUAAGGUGAGCGAGCGAACUCUCGUUAAGGAACUCGGCAAAAUGACCCCGUAACUUCGGGAGAAGGGGUGCUCUUUAGGGUUAACGCCCAGAAGAGCCGCAGUGAAUAGGCCCAAGCGACUGUUUAUCAAAAACACAGGUCUCUGCUAAACCGUAAGGUGAUGUAUAGGGGCUGACGCCUGCCCGGUGCUGGAAGGUUAAGAGGAGUGGUUAGCUUCUGCGAAGCUACGAAUCGAAGCCCCAGUAAACGGCGGCCGUAACUAUAACGGUCCUAAGGUAGCGAAAUUCCUUGUCGGGUAAGUUCCGACCCGCACGAAAGGCGUAACGAUUUGGGCACUGUCUCAACGAGAGACUCGGUGAAAUCAUAGUACCUGUGAAGAUGCAGGUUACCCGCGACAGGACGGAAAGACCCCGUGGAGCUUUACUGUAGCCUGAUAUUGAAAUUCGGCACAGCUUGUACAGGAUAGGUAGGAGCCUUUGAAACGUGAGCGCUAGCUUACGUGGAGGCGCUGGUGGGAUACUACCCUAGCUGUGUUGGCUUUCUAACCCGCACCACUUAUCGUGGUGGGAGACAGUGUCAGGCGGGCAGUUUGACUGGGGCGGUCGCCUCCUAAAAGGUAACGGAGGCGCUCAAAGGUUCCCUCAGAAUGGUUGGAAAUCAUUCAUAGAGUGUAAAGGCAUAAGGGAGCUUGACUGCGAGACCUACAAGUCGAGCAGGGUCGAAAGACGGACUUAGUGAUCCGGUGGUUCCGCAUGGAAGGGCCAUCGCUCAACGGAUAAAAGCUACCCCGGGGAUAACAGGCUUAUCUCCCCCAAGAGUUCACAUCGACGGGGAGGUUUGGCACCUCGAUGUCGGCUCAUCGCAUCCUGGGGCUGUAGUCGGUCCCAAGGGUUGGGCUGUUCGCCCAUUAAAGCGGUACGCGAGCUGGGUUCAGAACGUCGUGAGACAGUUCGGUCCCUAUCCGUCGUGGGCGUAGGAAAUUUGAGAGGAGCUGUCCUUAGUACGAGAGGACCGGGAUGGACAUACCUCUGGUGUACCAGUUGUCGUGCCAACGGCAUAGCUGGGUAGCUAUGUGUGGACGGGAUAAGUGCUGAAAGCAUCUAAGCAUGAAGCCCCCCUCAAGAUGAGAUUUCCCAACUUCGGUUAUAAGAUCCCUCAA
This 1999-nucleotide ribosomal RNA is filed under the name Staphylococcus aureus. Its description in RNAcentral is "partial 23S ribosomal RNA". It matches the Rfam family "Bacterial large subunit ribosomal RNA", at positions 840 to 2841 of the family's 2925-position model. Lineage: Bacteria; Bacillati; Bacillota; Bacilli; Caryophanales; Staphylococcaceae. The record is from RNAcentral.